Long non-coding RNA from Syngnathus acus (greater pipefish), 754 nucleotides. RefSeq lists it as uncharacterized. The transcript has 3 exons. Lineage: Eukaryota; Metazoa; Chordata; Actinopteri; Syngnathiformes; Syngnathidae. The record is from RefSeq and is a predicted model, not a curated record.
UUUUAAGAAUAACAUUCUAUUUCUGUAAUGCACAAUUAAUUCCCUUUUCUGUGGAUAAGGCUUAUUGCCUUACUUUUUUUGGUGGUAUUUCAGUUUGAUGCUUUAAUACAUAGCUACAUUAAUAAUGACUAUUACUAGAUGAAUCCAUUCAUAUUAAUUUGUUUCUACUUACUUUUCAUGAGUUUUUGCUGUGUCCCUCAGCUCUUUCCCACAUUCCAAAAAACACCAACUGGCUGGCGACCAGUCCAGAGAACAGAGUAGACACUGCUUCCCACCCAAAGUUUGCUGGGAAAGGCUCCAGCUCAUCCACACUCCUAAUGAGGACAAGCAGUAUAGAAAAUGGUUGGAUGGAUGAGUCACUUUGGCAUCAUAAUGGCACAACCCGUCUGUUGUUCAUCCUCCGUGAUCCAGGUCUGACCUUCUGCCUGUCCUCAACCACGAGCCUGCUUCACCCUUGCCAGCAUCCGUUCCAAUGCCUGUGAUCCAUUUCUCAUUUCCCUUCUAUACAAUAAACACUGCAGCGCUGGAUAUAGAGGACUCUGGAGUGAUUGUGGAACAUUUUCCACUUAGACAGCAGGGGGUGGAACUGGUUGCCUUGGAUGUGCUAUGAACACUCAGGGCCCUAUUUUUGUGAGUAUUUCAAGUCGGUAUGCAAGGUCUGGUCUGGUUUAUCCACGUUUUCUCCAAGCUAACGGCUAACUUUAUUGCAUGAAGGGAUGUGCCGUUAUGCAACAACGGGGAGAUUAUGCUCCUC